GGGGCUAUAGCUCAUCUGGUAGAGCGGCUGGUUCGCAAUCAGCAGGUGGUGGGUUCGAGUCCCAUUGGCUCCAACA
RNAcentral lists this transfer RNA (76 nucleotides) under Sphaerochaeta sp. Its description in RNAcentral is "tRNA-Ala". It matches the Rfam family "tRNA". From Rfam's summary of the family: Transfer RNA (tRNA) molecules are approximately 80 nucleotides in length. Their secondary structure includes four short double-helical elements and three loops (D, anti-codon, and T loops). The record is from RNAcentral. Lineage: Bacteria; Pseudomonadati; Spirochaetota; Spirochaetia; Spirochaetales; Sphaerochaetaceae.